GACGAACGCUGGCGGCGUGCCUAACACAUGCAAGUCGAGCGAGGAGAGUUCCUUCGGGAACAAACCUAGCGGCGGACGGGUGAGUAACACGUGGGCAACCUGCCUUGUAGAGGGGAAUAGCCUUCCGAAAGGAAGAUUAAUACCGCAUAACAUUACAGUUUCGCAUGAAACAGUAAUUAAAGGAGUAAUCCGCUACAAGAUGGGCCCGCGGCGCAUUAGCUAGUUGGUGAGGUAACGGCUCACCAAGGCGACGAUGCGUAGCCGACCUGAGAGGGUGAUCGGCCACAUUGGGACUGAGACACGGCCCAGACUCCUACGGGAGGCAGCAGUGGGGAAUAUUGCACAAUGGGGGAUACCCUGAUGCAGCAACGCCGCGUGAGUGAUGAAGGUUUUCGGAUCGUAAAGCUCUGUCUUCGGGGACGAUAAUGACGGUACCCGAGGAGGAAGCCACGGCUAACUACGUG
Molecule: ribosomal RNA, 464 nt
Filed under: uncultured bacterium
Lineage: Bacteria
Description: bacterial SSU rRNA
Rfam family: Bacterial small subunit ribosomal RNA
Source: RNAcentral